UACGGGGGGGGCAAGCGUUGUUCGGAAUUACUGGGCGUAAAGGGCUCGUAGGUGGCCAACUAAGUCGGACGUGAAAUCCCUCGGCUUAACCGGGGAACUGCGUCUGAUACUGGAUGGCUUGAGUUCGGGAGAGGGAUGCGGAAUUCCAGGUGUAGCGGUGAAAUGCGUAGAUAUCAGGAGGAAUACCGAUGGCGAAGGCAGGUCUCUGGGCUGACACUGACGCUCAUGCACGAAAGCGUGGGGAGCAAACAGG
RNAcentral lists this ribosomal RNA (253 nucleotides) under uncultured bacterium. RNAcentral describes it as "partial 16S ribosomal RNA". It matches the Rfam family "Bacterial small subunit ribosomal RNA", at positions 524 to 776 of the family's 1533-position model. The record is from RNAcentral.